Molecule: ribosomal RNA, 468 nt
Filed under: uncultured bacterium
Lineage: Bacteria
Description: partial 16S ribosomal RNA
Rfam family: Bacterial small subunit ribosomal RNA
Source: RNAcentral
GACGAACGCUGGCGGCGUGCUUAACACAUGCAAGUCGAACGGAAAGGCCCUGCUUUUGUGGGGUGCCCGAGUGGCGAACGGGUGAGUAACACGUGAGUAACCUGCCCUUGACUUUGGGAUAACUUCAGGAAACUGGGGCUAAUACCGGAUAGGAGCUCCUGCUGCAUGGUGGGGGUUGGAAAGUUUCGGCGGUUGGGGAUGGACUCGCGGCUUAUCAGCUUGUUGGUGGGGUAGUGGCUUACCAAGGCUUUGACGGGUAGCCGGCCUGAGAGGGUGACCGGCCACAUUGGGACUGAGAUACGGCCCAGACUCCUACGGGAGGCAGCAGUGGGGAAUAUUGCACAAUGGGCGGAAGCCUGAUGCAGCAACGCCGCGUGCGGGAUGACGGCCUUCGGGUUGUAAACCGCUUUCGCCUGCGACGAAGCGUGAGUGACGGUAAUGGGUAAAGAAGCACCGGCUAACUACGUG